This is a transfer RNA of Flavobacterium sp. 316, 72 nucleotides long. It matches the Rfam family "tRNA". Rfam says of the family: Transfer RNA (tRNA) molecules are approximately 80 nucleotides in length. NCBI's taxonomy places the organism in Bacteria, Pseudomonadati, Bacteroidota, Flavobacteriia, Flavobacteriales, Flavobacteriaceae. The record is from Rfam.
AAUACUAUAGCUCAAAGGGUAGAGCAGCAGCAAUGUAUGCUGAAGAUGGAGGUUCGAUUCCUUCUGGUGUUU